RNAcentral lists this ribosomal RNA (253 nucleotides) under uncultured bacterium. RNAcentral describes it as "partial 16S ribosomal RNA". It matches the Rfam family "Bacterial small subunit ribosomal RNA", at positions 524 to 776 of the family's 1533-position model. The record is from RNAcentral.
UACAGAGGGUGCGAGCGUUGUCCGGAAUCACUGGGCGUAAAGGGCGCGUAGGUGGCGACCCAAGUCGAUGGUGAAAGCUCGCCGCUCAACGGCGAGUCGGCCACCGAUACUGGGUUGCUCGAGCACUGUAGAGGCUAAUGGAAUUCCGGGUGUAGCGGUGAAAUGCGUAGAGAUCAGGAAGAACACCGGUGGCGAAAGCGCUCUGCUAGGCCGCAACUGACACUGAGGGACGAAAGCUAGGGGAGCGAAUGGG